RNAcentral lists this ribosomal RNA (321 nucleotides) under uncultured eukaryote. Its description in RNAcentral is "partial 18S ribosomal RNA". It matches the Rfam family "Eukaryotic small subunit ribosomal RNA", at positions 1470 to 1796 of the family's 1831-position model. The record is from RNAcentral.
CCCUUAGAUGUCCUGGGCCGCACGCGCGCUACACUGACAUGUUCAACAAGCCUCCUAGUUCGACAGGAUUUGGGAAAUCUUUGAACGCAUGUCGUGAUAGGGAUAGAUCAUUGCAAUUAUUGAUCUUGAACGAGGAAUUCCUAGUAAACGCGAGUCAUCAGCUCGCAUUGAUUACGUCCCUGCCCUUUGUACACACCGCCCGUCGCACCUACCGAUUGAAUGUUUCGGUGAAGAUUCCGGAUAGGACUUUUUUGAUUUAUUUCAACUUUGUCUUAAAAGCUAUCUAAACCUCAACAUUUAGAGGAAGGUGAAGUCGUAACA